Podarcis lilfordi (Lilford's wall lizard) is the source of this 80-nucleotide non-coding RNA. The record is from the annotation of a GenBank genome assembly. NCBI's taxonomy places the organism in Eukaryota, Metazoa, Chordata, Lepidosauria, Squamata, Lacertidae.
AUACACACACACACACACACACACACACACACAUAUAUAUAUAUAUGUGUGUGUGUGUAUAUAUAUAUGUAUGUAUGUAU